UACAGAGGGUGCGAGCGUUAAUCGGAAUUACUGGGCGUAAAGCGUGCGUAGCCGGUUAUGUAAGUCGGAUGUGAAAGCCCCGGGCUCAACCUGGGAACUGCAUUCGAGACUGCAUAGCUAGGAUGCGGAAGAGGGAAGUGGAAUUUCCGGUGUAGCGGUGAAAUGCGUAGAUAUCGGAAGGAACAUCAGUGGCGAAAGCGACUUCCUGGUCCAGCAUCGACGUUCAGGCACGAAAGCGUGGGGAGCAAACAGG
This 253-nucleotide ribosomal RNA is filed under the name uncultured bacterium. Its description in RNAcentral is "partial 16S ribosomal RNA". It matches the Rfam family "Bacterial small subunit ribosomal RNA", at positions 524 to 776 of the family's 1533-position model. The record is from RNAcentral.